AUACGGAGGGUGCGAGCGUUAAUCGGAAUUACUGGGCGUAAAGCGUACGUAGGCGGUUGGUUAAGUUAGAUGUGAAAGCCCCGGGCUUAACCUGGGAACUGCAUUUAAAACUGGCGAACUAGAGUUGAGUAGAGGGGAGUGGAAUUUCAGGUGUGGCGGUGAAAUGCGUAGAGAUCUGAAGGAACACCAGUGGCGAAGGCGACUCCCUGGACUCGAACUGACGCUGAGGUACGAAAGCGUGGGUAGCAAACGGGAUUAGAAACCCCGGUAGUCC
This 274-nucleotide ribosomal RNA is filed under the name uncultured bacterium. RNAcentral's name for it is "partial 16S ribosomal RNA". It matches the Rfam family "Bacterial small subunit ribosomal RNA", at positions 523 to 796 of the family's 1533-position model. The record is from RNAcentral.